This is a long non-coding RNA of Thalassophryne amazonica, 1212 nucleotides long. RefSeq lists it as uncharacterized. NCBI's taxonomy places the organism in Eukaryota, Metazoa, Chordata, Actinopteri, Batrachoidiformes, Batrachoididae. The record is from RefSeq and is a predicted model, not a curated record. The transcript has 2 exons.
UUGUUAAACUCAUAACUACACACAUUAACAUGCCAGAGCUAAUGGCGAGACAUGUUAGCAUUUGUAAUAUUGAGGCUAGAUAUGGUUAGCUGAUUUGGAACAUGCUAACAUGACUUCUACCAUUAGUGAUUACAAAAAUCACCAAAUGCUUCACGACGUACAACAAUCUGUCCCUGAAAUUCACAGCAGAUAGAGACAGAUAUAACCACAGCUAACUUCAGUAUGCUAACAAUACUCACGUUUAGUGCAUCAUUAUUACAGGAGUAAAGUUGGUUUAAGAAAAUGUUAAUUCUUUGAAGCAUUGCAUCAGACUAAGAAUCUUGCACUAAAUGUAACUAAGCUAAUGUUGGCACGCUACCAUUAACAUACAGCUAAUUUUAGCAUGUUAAUUUUCCCAUGAUGUGGACCCUAGUAAAUAUAUUGGCACGCUUGCUAAUGUAUCUACAUUACCUUGUAGCAUUAGCUUGCUAACCAAGCAGCCACAUUUUAUUUUAGCCACACAACUGAGCGUACACAGUUUUCAUGCUAACAUUUAAUUUGCAGUAUUCCCACCUUUAUUUCAGCAUCUGUUUGCUAGUUACAGCCUAAUAAAUGUGAUGCCACAGAUAAUAAAUGCUCAGUUAAAUUGAACUCGUAGCUAUAACUUAACUGGCAAUACGCUAGCAUUACAUAGACGUGAGAUUAAUAAUAAAUGGUAACAUUAGCAUUACAUUACUAUGAGCGUGACUUUUUUUUUUUUUUUUUUUGCACAGUAACAAUUUGAUAAAGCUACAUGUAAAUUUAAAAAGUGUCGUAUUCUCUUCGUGAUGGAAGAUGGAUGGAAGCCAAAAACUGUUUAAUACUCCACCCGAUCAGCUGGUGUAAUGGAUCGAUUUGUACUUAAACGUGAAGCCAUAAUCGAUCAAAUCGCAGUUUUUUCUCCAUAGUGUUCAAGCCGUUCACUCAGUCCUCCGCCCAGCAGGUGGCGGCAUUUCACGCAAACCAGAGUGGAGAUAAAUUUGGUUUCUGGCUGAAUGUAUCCUGCUUUAGACCAGACUAAACAGUUUGCACUGGAAGAUGCUUUUAGAACUUUUACAACCACGUUCUCUUUUGUAUAAGUCUUCAAACGCUUUAAUCACUUUUGUACACUGAUGAAUAAUGUGCAUGUCGUCUUCUGUUGUGUAGCUUCCAACUGUAUGUUCAUUUUCGUGCUUUUAUUUAUUAAAACAUGAA